AUAGGUUAAGUUAAUAAGGGCGCAUGGUGGAUGCCUUGGCACUAGAAGGCGAUGAAGGACGUGACUAACUACGAUAUGCCUCGGUUAGCUGUAAGUAAGCUUACCCGGGGGUUUCCGAAUGGGGCAACCCGAUCUUAAUGAUCAUCAUCUUUUUGAAUUCAUAGAUUAGAUGAAGCAAACGCUGUGAACUGAAACAUCUAAGUAGCAGUAGGAAAGUAAAGAAAUUUCGAUUCCGUCAGUAGCGGCGAGCGAACGCGGAAGAGCCCAAACCUGGAUGCUUGCAUCCAGGGGUUGUAGGAC
This 300-nucleotide ribosomal RNA is filed under the name Oenococcus oeni. RNAcentral describes it as "partial 23S ribosomal RNA". It matches the Rfam family "Bacterial large subunit ribosomal RNA", at positions 1 to 306 of the family's 2925-position model. The record is from RNAcentral. Lineage: Bacteria; Bacillati; Bacillota; Bacilli; Lactobacillales; Lactobacillaceae.